Molecule: ribosomal RNA, 444 nt
Filed under: uncultured bacterium
Lineage: Bacteria
Description: bacterial SSU rRNA
Rfam family: Bacterial small subunit ribosomal RNA
Source: RNAcentral
CCAGACUCCUACGGGAGGCAGCAGUGGGGAAUAUUGCACAAUGGGGGAAACCCUGAUGCAGCGACGCCGCGUGAAGGAAGAAGUAUUUCGGUAUGUAAACUUCUAUCAGCAGGGAAGAAAAUGACGGUACCUGACUAAGAAGCCCCGGCUAACUACGUGCCAGCAGCCGCGGUAAUACGUAGGGGGCAAGCGUUAUCCGGAUUUAUUGGGUUUAAAGGGUGCGUAGGCGGUCCGUUAAGUCAGCGGUAAAAUUGCGGGGCUCAACCCCGUCGAGCCGUUGAAACUGGCAGACUUGAGUUGGCGAGAAGUACGCGGAAUGCGCGGUGUAGCGGUGAAAUGCAUAGAUAUCACGCAGAACUCCGAUUGCGAAGGCAGCAUACCGGCGCGCAACUGACGCUCAUGCACGAAAGCGUGGGUAUCGAACAGGAUUAGAUACCCCCGUAC